Long non-coding RNA from Amblyraja radiata (thorny skate), 327 nucleotides. RefSeq lists it as uncharacterized. Lineage: Eukaryota; Metazoa; Chordata; Chondrichthyes; Rajiformes; Rajidae. The transcript has 3 exons. The record is from RefSeq and is a predicted model, not a curated record.
GGUUGACAUUUCAGAUCGAGACCUUGCAUCAGGACUGAAAGUGUAAAGGGGAGAUAACCAGGAUAAUGAGGUGGAGGGAGGAGUGAGAUAGGAGCUGGCAAGUGUUAAGUGGAUUCAAAUGAGGAGGAAUUGAUGGGCAGAUGGAGCCAGGUAGAGGAGAGAAGGUUGGAGCUAGUGACAGAGGAUGGGAGGUGUUAAGUGGAGAUAACAAAGGAGUGCAGAUUUUAGAAUCUGAUAAGAACGAAAACUGAUGAGAGGAACCAGAUAAUGGACGGAUGCGAAUAGUAUGGGGAGGGGAUACGGGAAAUAUCGGAUCAAACACAAAGU